AAAAUCCGUCGACUUUAAAAAUCGUGAGGGUUCAAGUCCCUCUAUCCCCAACUAUUUCACUCCCCAACUAUUUCACUCCCCAACUAUUUAUCCAACCCC
RNAcentral lists this transfer RNA (99 nucleotides) under Goetzea elegans. RNAcentral's name for it is "partial tRNA-Leu". Lineage: Eukaryota; Viridiplantae; Streptophyta; Magnoliopsida; Solanales; Solanaceae. The record is from RNAcentral.